RNAcentral lists this long non-coding RNA (368 nucleotides) under Helianthus annuus (common sunflower). Its description in RNAcentral is "sRNA HanXRQr2_Chr05g0216421". The record is from RNAcentral. Lineage: Eukaryota; Viridiplantae; Streptophyta; Magnoliopsida; Asterales; Asteraceae.
AUGGGAAAAACUACUUUGUUCGUCUUCAUGUUGGUUCUCGUUCUCUUUGCUUCCGUAUCUUAGGGUGAGAGGGGCACUUCCCUCUUAGGGGAGUUCCUUCUCUUACGCAUACCCAAUCAGGUUAUGCCACGUCAACUACCCUCUUAAACUACUCCUCUCUUAGGUGACUUGUUUUUUUAUUAAAAAAAAAAGGUAAUCAUUGAUUGGUUGAAAAUGAGGGUGGCCCCACCAUCUCCUCUCUUCUUCUUCGGUGAAACCUCCCCGAUCUCCCUCCCCGCACCGAUGGCGCCGGUGUUCCCGAGCGGUGAAUUGGGUCACCGCACCCACUUCCCAAGAGAGUACUGUGACAGAAGCGAAGAUGUGUGAAC